GAUGAACGCUGGCGGCGUGCCUAAUACAUGCAAGUCGAGCGAACGGACGAGAAGCUUGCUUCUCUGAUGUUAGCGGCGGACGGGUGAGUAACACGUGGAUAACCUACCUAUAAGACUGGGAUAACUUCGGGAAACCGGAGCUAAUACCGGAUAAUAUUUUGAACCGCAUGGUUCAAAAGUGAAAGACGGUCUUGCUGUCACUUAUAGAUGGAUCCGCGCUGCAUUAGCUAGUUGGUAAGGUAACGGCUUACCAAGGCAACGAUGCAUAGCCGACCUGAGAGGGUGGUCGGCCACACUGGAAGUGAGACACGGUCCAGACUCCUACGGGAGGCCGCAGUAGGGAAUCUUCCGCGAUGGACGAGAGCCUGACGGAGCAACGCCGCGUGAGUGAUGAAGGUCUUCGGAUCGUAAAACUCUGUUAUUAGGGAAGAACAUAUGUGUAAGUAACUGUGCACAUCUUGACGGUACCUAAUCAGAAAGCCACGGCUAACUACGUG
Molecule: ribosomal RNA, 497 nt
Filed under: uncultured bacterium
Lineage: Bacteria
Description: partial 16S ribosomal RNA
Rfam family: Bacterial small subunit ribosomal RNA
Source: RNAcentral